CAGCAGCCGCGGUAAUACGGAGGGUGCAAGCGUUGCCCGGAUUUAUUGGGUUUAAAGGGUGCGUAGGCGGCUAUUUAAGUCAGCGGUGAAAGACUCCGGCUCAACCGGAGCAGUGCCAUUGAUACUGGAUAGCUUGAGUGUUGGAGGGGUACAUGGAAUUGAUGGUGUAGCGGUGAAAUGCAUAGAUACCAUCAGGAACACCGAUAGCGAAGGCAUUGUACUGGCCAACAACUGACGCUGAGGCACAAAAGCAUGGGGAGCGAACAGGAUUAGAUACCCCUGUAGUCCCUGUCUCUUAUAC
This 301-nucleotide ribosomal RNA is filed under the name uncultured bacterium. Its description in RNAcentral is "partial 16S ribosomal RNA". It matches the Rfam family "Bacterial small subunit ribosomal RNA", at positions 509 to 807 of the family's 1533-position model. The record is from RNAcentral.